GGGCGAGCGUUAUCUGGACCCAUUGGGCGUAAAGCGCGCGUAGGCGGCCGCGUAGGCGGCGUGUCAAAUCCCGGGGCUCAACCCCGGUCCGCCCCCCGAACCCCGCGGCUCGGGUCCGGUCGGGGAGGGUGGAACACCCGGUGUAGCGGUGGAAUGCGCAGAUAUCGGGUGGAACACCGGUGGCGAAGGCGGCCCUCUGGGCCGAGACCGACGCUGAGGCGCGAAAGCUGGGGGGGCGAA
This 240-nucleotide ribosomal RNA is filed under the name uncultured bacterium. Its description in RNAcentral is "partial 16S ribosomal RNA". It matches the Rfam family "Bacterial small subunit ribosomal RNA", at positions 532 to 772 of the family's 1533-position model. The record is from RNAcentral.